CAUCUGCAAUUAUAUAUAUAAAGAGGCAGAUGGCAGCAUCGUAAAUAUUAAGACACACGUACAGGAAUUAACUAGAAAUACUCUAACUAGAAAUCAGGAUAAACUGAUUCACUGAUAAACUCCAUAGCAAAUUAUAAUGUUCUAAUUAUCGUUUGAGAUCAACAAACAUAUUCCCCAUCAUAAUCAUUUCCAUUUGAUUCAGGCACACAGGCUUUUGAAACAUUUUCUUGUCUUUACUCGUGAUAAAUUAAAAAACGUACUGGACAAGCAAUAUUUAAACAAUAAUCUUCCAGGCAUAAUAAUUCAUUCGAUGCAGUGCAGUAAUUCGCAAGGGACAUUUGGUUCUCAGUAGAAUGGCAAACGGUGUGUUCAUUGAACACACACUCGGUACUGUUUCGGCAUUACCGUAUAAAUACAGUGAAUACAAAAUGUUUGGUGGCCUCUGCAGCCAUUAAAAAACAGAAAAUCAGGUAUGUGAGUUUUAAAAAACCAUAUCUUCAAGAAGCCCCUCUCCUACAACA
RNAcentral lists this unclassified non-coding RNA (521 nucleotides) under Bombus terrestris (buff-tailed bumblebee). RNAcentral describes it as "misc RNA ENSBTSG00005024236.1". The record is from RNAcentral. Lineage: Eukaryota; Metazoa; Arthropoda; Insecta; Hymenoptera; Apidae.